This is a long non-coding RNA of Neofelis nebulosa (Clouded leopard), 2038 nucleotides long. RefSeq lists it as uncharacterized. The transcript is spliced from 2 exons. Lineage: Eukaryota; Metazoa; Chordata; Mammalia; Carnivora; Felidae. The record is from RefSeq and is a predicted model, not a curated record.
CCAGCAUCUGGCCUUUCUGUUCACCGUGUUUUAGCCUCCAGCACCUUGCAUGUGCCCCAAAUGACUUGCUGUGGAACCCUGAGUAAGCCCAUUGCCUCCUCUGGGUCACAGUCUCCAUCCAUAUGAGGAAGGCCACGUGAUAUGGUCUCUGAGCCCCCUUCCAGCUCUGAUGGCUGCCCAUUUCAGCCUGCCCCAGCACUUGAUCCUGGAGAUGCUGAGCACGGGGGGCACAGGAGAGAACUCUGAGCCAAGCUUGGAAGACCUGAGGACAAGCCCUGGUUCUGCCUCUCUGCAGCCUCCAACAAGUUUCCCACCCUCUCUCAGCCCAACCUUUCUCUCCUGCCAGGCUCCGGACAAGUGGGGACCACACCGCCUGCUGUAACCUCGUAAGGCUGGAGAAGUCUGAAGCCAGAAAGGGCCUGAGCAUCUUCUGCGAGGAAUCCAUCCAGCCCGCCAGAGACAACCUGCAGUCAGUCCCCCACUCCCUUGAGUGUUAAGUGUUCACCCUAAGUGCAAGGUGGGGACAUGUGAGUGUAGGUGGAACAGACCCCAGGAGACCUGGGUCCAAGGACACACCAAGGACCAGUGGGGGACUUUGUUCAGCCUUAGAGCUCCCAUAAUCUCCUCCAGACCCCCAGGGCCACCCCCAAGUAAACAGCUUGAGGGAGAACCGCGUGGUGCUCGCUGGCUUCAGGACAAAGUUAUACCACCACCCCUGUUCCGGCACCCUCUCAACCAGCGGGUUCACAAGAUGGGGAUGUCCCAGCAGGCUCUUCCAGUGCUAGGACAGGGCCUUCCCCAGGCCCGCUUCUGGUCUCAUCUGAAUGCUUUGGUGUAAGGAACAGGGGACGGUUCCUUUUCAGAUAGGUAAUCCAGGGUUCUAGAGGAUGAGACGACAGUGCUGUGAGCCUCCAGAAAUGAAUUCCUGCCUCUGGACAGGAAUCUGAAGAUAGAUCAGGCUCUCUCACUCUGCCUCCUUCUUCUUGGGCUCUUCUCUGUCCCCUCUCCUGCUUCCUUCCUUCUCCUGCUCCCUGUCUCUCCCAGCCCCUGCUGAACUAGCUUCCCAGGCCUAUUAAUCAGGCCUGAUCUGACCUCAAGACCAAAGAGCCAAGAAGAGGAGGGAGGCAGGGAAGAAGAAAGGAGGGAAGAGGACAAUUCACCUGCCUGGAGACCUGGUCAGUGCUACUCACCUUUGCCUCUCUUGUCUCCUAGACCUCCCCCCAGUCACCCUACAAGGCAGAACCUAUUUAUAGGGGAGCAAACUCAGUCUCCAAGAGCAUAGAUGUUCUGACUGGCACCACACAACUGAUUAGGAGCCAGUCUCCAGGCUCCUAGGUGGCUCCUAGUUGACAACCGGGAGCUUAAACUGACCGGGGAGGAAGAAGAGCAUCUCCUUGGUCCUAAGGCUCUCAGUCAUUCAGGGCUGAAGCCAGUCAGGGCAGGUGGGAGGGCUGGCCUAGCUAGUCCCUGUCCCAAAGAGGGCAGGUAGCCCAAGGCUAGUCACUUCACCUUUCUGAAGAUCCUUUUGUCCAGUUAAAAAUCUGGCCAGGAGUGACCUUUGCCCUCGAGGGAAAAGUGAUAAGUGCCUUGGCUUGUAGCUAGACUUGAUUUCAAAUUCUGGUUCUGCCUGUCCCUAGUUGAGUAGCUAGACACAAGUCACUUCUCCCUGCUGUGAAAUGGGAGUGAUCAGGCCAUCCACAUGGGGUUUUGCUGAAGAUUGGGCCCCUUAGAGGGCUCCACAGCUGGUGCUCAAGGGGUGGAAAGAAAUGCAAUGAGAAAGCCUAGUGACCAUCAGCUGUGGGACCAGGCAAGUGGCUCCCCCCUACCCUGCCCCCACGAUGCCAAAGCACUCUUGGGCCUGGGAGGGCAGACUAGAGACUCGUGUCUGACCUUUUACCCUCUUGGAUCCCCAGAGAGCACACCCUCACUCCAUCCUACCAUCCUGGCCCUUACAUACCCAUCCUGCUCCAUUCUUCCCUGGCCGACUCAGGGCUCUGUUCCCACCCCACCCCCAGUACAAAAGGGACAUUUGACAUUC